RNAcentral lists this ribosomal RNA (254 nucleotides) under uncultured bacterium. Its description in RNAcentral is "partial 16S ribosomal RNA". It matches the Rfam family "Bacterial small subunit ribosomal RNA", at positions 524 to 776 of the family's 1533-position model. The record is from RNAcentral.
UACGUAGGGGGCGAGCGUUGUCCGAAUUUACUGGGCGUAAAGCGCGCGUAGGCGGUCUCUUAAGUCUGGGGUGAAAGGUUCAACGCUCAACGUGAACAGUGCCUUGGAUACUGGGGGACUUGAGUCUGGGAGGGGGCAGUGGAAUUCCUGGUGUAGCGGUGAAAUGCGCAGAUAUCAGGAAGAACACCCGUGGCGAAGGCGGUUCUCUGGGACGGUACUGACGCUGAGACGCGAAAGCGUGGGGAGCGAACAGG